UGGGGAAUAUUGGACAAUGGGCGAAAGCCUGAUCCAGCCAUGCCGCGUGAGUGACGAAGGCCUUAGGGUUGUAAAACUCUUUCGUCGGGGACGAUAAUGACGGUACCCGAAGAAGAAGCUCCGGCUAACUUCGUGCCAGCAGCCGCGGUAAUACGAAGGGAGCUAGCGUUGUUCGGAAUCACUGGGCGUAAAGCGCACGUAGGCGGAUAGUUAAGUCAGGGGUGAAAUCCUGGGGCUCAACCCCAGAACUGCCUUUGAUACUGGCUGUCUCGAGGUCGAGAGAGGUUGGUGGAAUUCCUAGUGUAGAGGUGAAAUUCGUAGAUAUUGGGAAGAACACCAGUGGCGAAGGCGGCUAACUGGUCCGGUACUGACGCUGAGGUGCGAAAGCGUGGGGAGCAAACAGGAUUAGAUACCCCAGUAGUCCCUGAGCGGGCUGGCAAGGCGCAU
RNAcentral lists this ribosomal RNA (447 nucleotides) under uncultured bacterium. RNAcentral describes it as "bacterial SSU rRNA". It matches the Rfam family "Bacterial small subunit ribosomal RNA", at positions 355 to 825 of the family's 1533-position model. The record is from RNAcentral.